This 328-nucleotide long non-coding RNA is filed under the name Theobroma cacao (cacao). RNAcentral describes it as "long non-coding RNA (TCAC_LNC004684)". Lineage: Eukaryota; Viridiplantae; Streptophyta; Magnoliopsida; Malvales; Malvaceae. The record is from RNAcentral.
GAAAAGGCCCAAUGCCAAUCUUGGGCCCAUCUCCUCAUCUCAUCUUUUGCCAGCCAAUCAUAAUUCAGCCAACCUAAUCUAAAACCACAGCUUUCCCCUCGAAACGGUAUUGUCUGUUGUUCCAUCUCCUUCUAUCUGCAAAAUCCUGCACGAUCAAACUCACAGGUAAUCCCAGUUUCUUUGUUUCGUUUUUUAUCUCGUAAGUACCUUUGAGGUUCUUGUUAAGCGAAGCUUCUUGAUCGCAAGAUAGGUUGACAUGGCAACAACUUCAGCUGUCCUUGCUCAGGUAACAACCAGUGGCGCAGUGGUUCGCUGCGGCAGCAACAAA